GGCGAUAUGGCCGAGCGGUCUAAGGCGCCAGAAUCAGGAUGAUGUCCUAUCUGGUCCUCACGGGCGUGGGUUCGAAUCCCACUGUCGUCA
This is a non-coding RNA of Pilatotrama ljubarskyi, 90 nucleotides long. Lineage: Eukaryota; Fungi; Basidiomycota; Agaricomycetes; Polyporales; Polyporaceae. The record is from the annotation of a GenBank genome assembly.